AAGCGAAGGUCCCAGCGGAGAGGUAAUGGACUCUGACAUUGAGACCUCUCCAACACUAACUUAUGUAUCCUUCGCACAAUCACUCGCCGAAUCGUAAGAUGCCCAGAAUUUUCUCACAUUUUUGGAGCAUCUGGAACCCUCGGCUAUAUAAUA
Small nucleolar RNA from Ziziphus jujuba (common jujube), 153 nucleotides. RefSeq annotates it as small nucleolar RNA snoR145. The record is from RefSeq and is a predicted model, not a curated record. The transcript has a single exon. Lineage: Eukaryota; Viridiplantae; Streptophyta; Magnoliopsida; Rosales; Rhamnaceae.